This 460-nucleotide ribosomal RNA is filed under the name uncultured bacterium. RNAcentral describes it as "partial 16S ribosomal RNA". It matches the Rfam family "Bacterial small subunit ribosomal RNA", at positions 338 to 795 of the family's 1533-position model. The record is from RNAcentral.
CCUACGGGGGGCAGCAGUGAGGAAUAUUGGUCAAUGGGCUUACGCCUGAACCAGCCAAGUCGCGUGAGGGAAGACUGCCCUAUGGGUUGUAAACCUCUUUUGUCAGGGAGCAACGCCGGCUACGUGUAGCCGGACUGAGAGUACCUGCAGAAAAAGCAUCGGCAAACUCCGUCCCAGCAGCCGCGGUAAUACGGAGGAGGAGAGCGUUAUCGGGAUUUAUUGGGUUUAAGGGGUGCGUAGGCGGAAUGCCAAGUCAGCGGUAAAAUCGCGGGGCUCAACCGCGCUCCGCCGUUGAAACUGGCGGUCUUGAGUGGGCGAGAGGUAUGCGGAAUGCGUGGUGUAGCGGUGAAAUGCAUAGAUAUCACGCGGAACUCCGAUUGCGAAGGCAGCAUACCGGCGCCCGACUGACGCUGAGGCACGAAAGCGUGGGUAUCGAACAGGAUUAGAUACCCCGGUAGUC